RNAcentral lists this ribosomal RNA (253 nucleotides) under uncultured bacterium. RNAcentral describes it as "partial 16S ribosomal RNA". It matches the Rfam family "Bacterial small subunit ribosomal RNA", at positions 524 to 776 of the family's 1533-position model. The record is from RNAcentral.
GACGAACCGUGCGAACGUUGUUCGGAUUCAUUGGGCUUAAAGGGCGCGUAGGCGGGCCGGCAAGUCAGGGGUGAAAUCUUUCAGCUCAACUGGAAAAGUGCCUUUGAUACUGCCGGUCUCGAGGGAGGUAGGGGCGUGCGGAACUUCCGGUGGAGCGGUGAAAUGCGUAGAUAUCGGAAGGAACGCCGGUGGCGAAAGCGGCGCGCUGGACCUCUUCUGACGCUGAGGCGCGAAAGCCAGGGGAGCAAACGGG